RNAcentral lists this long non-coding RNA (942 nucleotides) under Capra hircus (goat). RNAcentral's name for it is "lncRNA (ENSCHIG00010022374.1)". The record is from RNAcentral. Lineage: Eukaryota; Metazoa; Chordata; Mammalia; Artiodactyla; Bovidae.
GUCUCUUCAGCAGACGCUCACUUAGUUACGAGGGUGAUCUGGCUGAACUGCGUGUCAUUCUGCUAACGGCCAGGCCCGGAAUGGGCUGCGCGGCUGGCAUCCUCUCUGGGCCCUCCCUGCUCCUCGUGUGCCUCCCCAAAGCGGCCCACUGUGAUGGGCACCCUGUUCCUAAGCCAGAGGAAACCCGAGUCGCGGCUUCCCGCUAGCCCUCCAAGUAACCUCUUGGUUGUCAGGCGGCAGGAGCCAACAGCAACAGCAGCUCCUCUGUCGCUGCAUCCCUUUCAAGCGGGGGGAGGGCUGUCGAGGAGCUGGAGUGGCAAGCGUGCAGCCUGCUGGGCGAGGGCCAGGGAGAAAGGACCUGUUGCUGCAGGGCUUACUCCCCCACAGUCGUGGAGGGCUUGCGCCCGCAGCAGCUCUGCUGACCGCGGCCUGCUAUUCCAAGGGCUCAGCCCGAGGCCAAGCGCCGCCCGGCGGGCGGGAUCAAGGGCUGCUCGGCGGGGCUGCCACAGACCCCUGUCUGUUCGACGCAGCAGGUGGACGCCGGGCCGCGUGCCCUCACAGCGCCCACCCGCGCGCACAUGUGCUCCGAGCGCUCCCCUCUCUUCUUCCAGACCGCCGGUCAAAGGCCUCUCAGUUCUGGAAACCAGUGCUGAGUGGAAAUUUAGACGCCCAGGAGUGGAAAGUGCUGAUGAUUGCGUAUCUAUCCCAAGAGAGCCCUGCAAAGAGGAAAACCUGGUUUACAACAGGGGGAAGAAAUGCACGGCGUGCUUCUCAGUUCAAGAGAGGAAAAGUCUUUGCUUCACCAGAGAUGGGACUCUUUCCAAGCUGUCUGAACUGACUGUAGUUUCCUCCCGAGAUCCAAGUCUGAGGCGAAAAACAAAAACAAAAGCAAAUUAUAGCCUUCAGGAACCCUCAGAAACAUUUCUACAAACUAGUCCCUGA